This is an RNA transcript of Erinaceus europaeus (western European hedgehog), 1702 nucleotides long. It is a transcript of the gene named rho GTPase-activating protein 20-like, with no coding region annotated. The transcript is spliced from 10 exons. NCBI's taxonomy places the organism in Eukaryota, Metazoa, Chordata, Mammalia, Eulipotyphla, Erinaceidae. The record is from RefSeq and is a predicted model, not a curated record.
UGGGAGAGAGUGGUGGAGCGGCUUAGAGUCUGGGUCAUGGCCUGCCUUGUGCUGCUGGGCCGCCGUUCCAUAGGCAGCAGGGGCACGACAUGAGAGAGCUCGUCCAUCAUGUAGCGGGUCUCCAGGACGAGACAGACCCCAAACUUCCAGCUCGCCCUGAACUUCCUCUGGUUCAACUUCAGAUUUCAUCAAUUCUUGGACAUCAACAGCCACAAAAUAGAAAAGAUAAUACAAGGAAUCUACGAAAAAUUUAUUGUACAUUCUGAUCUCAGAAAAGCUGCUAUUUGGAAGAGAUUAACUGAAGAAUUCCUAAAUGCAUCACUUUUGAGCAUUAACAAAGUAAAGCUCGUGUGUAGAGGGUGAUGUCCGCAAAGAAAAGCAGCCCUGGGUGGAACCCUGUGGUCGGUUUCUGCUCUGCUGCAUGGUCAAGGUCAAGAAGGGCCGCAGGAGGCAGAUGCGAGAACUGUUUCUCUGCUCCAACGUGCUGUUCAUUUCCAAUACCAAAUAUGAAGACAGAUUCAAGAUUAAGUAUUCAGUGCCCCUGGAAACCCUGUGGGUGUCUGACUGCCUGGAGAAGACUGGGAGAGCCAACAGCAGGGCCAGGAGAUCCCUAGUUCUAGGCUGGCCUAAUUGCAGCAUCGUGAUCUCCUUUUAUUCUCUUCGAGAUAAGGAGGAAUGACUUUUUUGUCUGCACAGGACUCCGAAGAGGAUGACCGGGUGUCUAUGGAUUCUGUGAAAAACAAGACCCCAGAUGCUACAGGGCAAGGACACUCACAGGGAAAUGAGGCAGGUCACUUGCCAAUGGGACCAGAUGAUUCCACCUCGGCUUCUACUCUCAAGAAUUCCUUCAGUCUGGAUCUGAUGUCUGAAAACACCCCAGAUGUCCUUGAUGGGGGUGACUUCGCUACCUGGACCACUUUCCGAUCUGUCACCAUUCGCUGCCGAUACCAGGGCAUCUUGGUGGCCAUGGACCAGAGGAAGAAUGCUAUCACUACCUCCACCCUCAGAGAUCCAGAAAACAACUGGCGUGACUAUCUGUGUGUGACCCCUGAACAGGAGGAGCAAGGGACUGUACUGUCCCUCUGGGCCUCUGCUCAAUCGCGGAGUCUGUCAGGGCCUGUGGGGAUGGGCUGGCUCCCAAGGUGCCUCUGUAUGACAACUAUGCCCUGCGCCACCCCAUCUUCCCACUCCACAUGGCAGAGGAGGACCUCAUGGAACAAAUCAGUCUGCUUCUGCAGGGAAAGAACGAUGCGGUCAGCCCCUUCAGCCUCUCUGUCACCACCUGUCUGAUCAUCUACAGGCUCAUGGGGUUCAUCAGCACAGAUUUCCAGAAGCAGAGCCUCGCCAUCCCAGAGUCGUAUUUCUCUUCAAGGACUUAGUCAAAUUUGAAUCCAGUCUUCAGCUGUGAAUUUUCUAUCACAAAAAAUGGAUUUGAGACACCUUCAUCUCAGGCACUAGUGGAGAUUCUCUGUGCCGACUUGGAUAUAUGGAAAAUGAGCUUCAAGCAGAAAUCUCAGCUCAUCUACUCUCCCAUUCUUCUAGCAACCCUUAUCUCCUCAUUAGAGAAAAAAAUUCUCCACAAAUUUCUCCUCUAUCCUUCAAUAUUAUAUCAUUCACAGUAUAGUACAGUAUAGUAUAAUAUAUUAUGUUAUAUUUUAGCGGUAAAUAAAUGAUAUUCUAUAACUCUGUGCCUUAAAUGACU